GUGUGACUCCUUUGGGAUGGAGGUAGGCAGCUAUGGAGAAGAAGAAGAAGAAGUAGAUCAUCACCAAUUCUCUUGAGCUAUUUUGCCGGGUUCAGUUUGGUUUGGUUCUAUUGGUUUCACGGUUGGACUUGGUCCCCAAAUCGAAAAACAUAGAAGGAGUGCAGCCUUGGCAUGGAAGGAUGGUGACAUCGGAACUCACAAACAAUGCCUACCGAUAACUCUUCCAGCACCUCAAAAAUUUGGUGAUUCUUCCAGCUCUCUCUUGCUUCUAUAAAAUUUGGGAAAUUUUUUUCAAUGGGGGAUUUCUAUAGUUGUAUGAAAUUUGCUUUUUUGGAUUUUAAUUUGUUGAUGGAUUUUUACAUAUGUUGUCAAAUAUACAAAG
Cornus florida is the source of this 382-nucleotide long non-coding RNA. RefSeq lists it as uncharacterized. Lineage: Eukaryota; Viridiplantae; Streptophyta; Magnoliopsida; Cornales; Cornaceae. The record is from RefSeq and is a predicted model, not a curated record. The transcript has 3 exons.